GCCAAGCGCUCACCAUUCUGCAGAAUAAGGAUCAGAACUUUACUGAGCUAAACUGGGUCUGUUCUUUUUACAGACUGCUGCUCACGGACAGAAGAGAUGGACUUCAACCAUCAAUAGCCAGGCUAGAGACCAUGUUGUGGAGCCUUCGGUGGACAAGCGGUCAUUUGAUUGAUGAAGAGAUGACCAGCAAUCUAAUUGCUGUUGCAGAGGAGUUCCUACAAGAGGCAAAUGACAUCCAACAACGGGAACCUUACGAAAAUGGCA
Non-coding RNA from Salmo salar (Atlantic salmon), 264 nucleotides. Lineage: Eukaryota; Metazoa; Chordata; Actinopteri; Salmoniformes; Salmonidae. The record is from RefSeq and is a predicted model, not a curated record.